Molecule: long non-coding RNA, 3037 nt
Organism: Chroicocephalus ridibundus (black-headed gull)
Lineage: Eukaryota; Metazoa; Chordata; Aves; Charadriiformes; Laridae
Exons: 3
Source: RefSeq, a predicted model, not a curated record
UAUGGGCAAGGAGAAGUCAAGGAUGAAUUUCCUACGGCCUUGUUGUGCAGCGCUUGCUUUGGAGAGGGCAGUGAAGGUGUUUCCAGCAGUGUCCAGCUUUCAGCCGUAUGCUGUCCCUCACCUUGCGAGAGGGAGUGUGUUUGAUGGACCCUGGGUGUGCAACUCAGUCACCAGGGAGGGCCUGAUCCUUUCCACAAGGUGGCACAGCAUGCCCUUGUUUUACUUGGGUUGGGCUUUGGGGGUUUAUCCCCAAAAGUGAUUAUAAAAGUAGGUUUACCUAGAAGAAGGGAUGUACUUCCCUCCCUACCCUAGUGAUGCAGCAUGGGCUCCCGUGGGCUGUUAGAGGGCAGGGGUGGCAAAAUCCCUCUUUUAUCCUCCCUUAUCAGCCAGAGGUCUGAGUUCAAGGUGUCCCUGGGCCCUGCUACGCGCUGUUCCCACCCCUACGAUGCUCAGGGCAAGACAGCCUCUGUGGUGCGGGGUGCCUGGUUGUCCUCUUCUCAGGCACCAUCACAGAGCUGCAGCCCCUGUGUCAUGCUCUGGGUGUUGUAGGUCCCCUGUAAGCACCUUCCAACAAAAAGGGGAUUAUCUAUAGCUUGUUAGAGUCCUUGCAGGGAGGGAGAAUAAAGCUCUUUGCUCUGAAACGUUCUCUUCCCUGGGAUUACAAGAUAAUGCAUAUGAAACGACAUUAGCUCAGCCAGGUUUAUGGAUUAUUUGAAAAUCAAAUUCUUUUAAUCUCAUCCGCCAUCUGGCACCAGCAUAACAGCCAGCAGCCAGCUGACUGCUGCUUCCACCCUGACUGUGUCGGAGCGACUGGAGUCCCAGAGACGGCGAAGGGACACCAGCAUCCUUGGCCACCACUGUGUGUCCUGGCACAGGCGCCUGGGCCAGCCUUGUCCUUAUUUCUUCCUAAAACAGCGUGGAGGUAACACGUCUCUGUGGAACUGACGUCUCUCCUUGGUGUGCGCUGGAAACGAACAGACAGGCUGGGAACAUCUCACUGCUUGCGCCUGUGUGACCAUGAGACUCAAAGUCAGCAGCCAGAGGGGUGCCCACGCCUCGGAGAAAGAAGCCGUAGCUGUUCUGCCUGUCAGCUUUGUCCCAGCGGCUCUUCGUGGCUGGAGUCACAAUUUGCAGUGCUGCCCGCUUUUGCUCGGCUCUCGGCACAGAGAGCGGCUCUUACAGGCAGCGAGAGGCCGGGGAGGGAGGUCUGCGGUUGCUUCUCGGUGGGGAUCGGGAUGCGAGAGGAGCGGACGUGGCACCUCUGCCCGCAGGAAAAUGUAAUAAUAAGAGCCCAUGUGUUUCUAACUAAAUGGCAGCCUGUGCUUAGUAAACAAUCCGGGGUCCAGUUUGGAUGGGAUCCCUGCGUUGAUGUUUCUGGAAAUAAAAUAAGAAUCGAGCUAAGGCAACUUGUUGCUGGAGCUGCCCGGAGCUGUUGCCGGAGCCGAAGGGAGUGAGAGCCCCUGGAGCAUCCAAGUCCGCAGGCAGCUCUGUGUGACUGCGAGAGGUCCCUCUGCUGCCCAGACCUGGCUCCUUUCCCUGCUCUCCGUCAGUCACCCGUCACUGAUGGGUCCCAGGAAUGACCCUACCCCUGGGCUCCCUUCGUGGGCUCCCCUUAGCACGGUUGCUUUCGCACCUCCUGCCUCUCCAUUCUCCUUUGGGGGUGAUUUUGGCAAGGAAAUUUGGCUUCUCCUGCCUCUGUGGUCUGCAAAGACUAGAUGCAUCCACGCAGCUGCGUCCCAUCUCCGCACCGGGACGGAGAGCAUCCCUCUAUGGCAGGCAGUGGGCAACCUUCUGUUGCCAGAAUGUGCCGGUCCCUUGGGCAGCCACUUCCAUUUUGCCUCGUCCUUCUUGCCACAGGUUCCCUCCCCAGUGCCCGUUCACUGAUCUCCUGCAACACCACUUGCAUUGCUGACACUGGGCACUUUGGACUUGAACUGGGACCAGUUACCCUGUCAGGGUCCCGCUGCUUUUAGUGCUUAGAUCACUUUUGAGUGUGAGAUUCCAAAGUCACUUGGAAUAUUUGAAAAACGGUGUCUAUUUUUUUUUCCUCUCCAUUGGAGUGUAUAUCUGUGGGGUUUUUUGUUAUUUCUUUCUUGUCCAUGUUUAAAAUUUCUUUUGGACAUAAUUUCUUUUUGUGAUGUAAGUGUUCUGACAAACUUGACCCUACGCUGCAAAGCAGUUCUGCACGAAUGAACCAGGCAGGUCAAGCAAUCUUCCUCUCUGGUUCCUUCCCCUGAAGUAAAAAGCGACCCUACAAUCACAAACCCGGUGCGUAGAACCCCGUGCAUUCAAGAGACCCUACAAUAACAAACCAGCGUGCACGCAGCCUGCUGCUGAUUAGCGUUGACAUGGUUUCAAAUGCUCCUGCUGAUGUGUCCUUUCUGAGGGCAUCAGCGUCAGCCGUCCUUUUAGCUGUGAAACGAGGAGGAUGACUCAUGAACCAUACCGACGCAAGUGGUGUCAGUACCUCGAUGGUCCAUCAGGUUUCUAACCUGCGUCAGCAAAAUCAGGGGUGAAGAAGGAAAUGAGAUUGACAACCCAACCUGAAUUUGAGGGGGAGACGGCAAGUGAUACGGAAAAUAAAACUCCGCCUGAGCCUGUGUCCCCACUCCUUACCAGACACAUGCUGCAGGGAGACCCAGCUCUGCAGACCUUCAGGCAUGGACUGUUCCCGUCACUUACGGAUAUUGGAAACAUUCAUUUUUGACAACGCUCUCCAACAGGCUCUAACUUCUUCCUCUGCUGACAGCCUGAGAGCAUCUUCCCCUCCUCUCUCUGCAGAGCCUUUUGAAGGACUGAUUAUUGUGGGCUGGUACCUCUGUCCUCCUGAAUUUGCCAUGAAUAUUAUGUCCGCUGGUGCGAGAAACCCUCCUUAGGUCACAAGCAGCCCAGAAGUGCUUAACAGUCCUGAAGCUGAGAAAGCAGAUGAGAAGGCUGAUAAAAGCAAACUUAAGACGCUGUGAACCCCAGUUAUGAUGAUUUAUGGCUCUCUUUAUCUCAAGAUGCUUAGAAACUGACGUUUUCUGAAGUAAUGAGA